Molecule: ribosomal RNA, 634 nt
Filed under: Piloderma olivaceum
Lineage: Eukaryota; Fungi; Basidiomycota; Agaricomycetes; Atheliales; Atheliaceae
Description: eukaryotic LSU rRNA
Rfam family: 5.8S ribosomal RNA (bases 245-399)
Source: RNAcentral
AAGUAAAAGUCGUAACAAGGUUUCCGUAGGUGAACCUGCGGAAGGAUCAUUAUCGAAAUUAUAGGUGAGGGUUGUAGCUGGCCUCUCGGGGCAUGUGCACGCCCGAGCCCUUAAUCCACACACACCUGUGAACCUAUUGUAAGGGCCCUUAAAAAAGGCCUUUACGUCUUAUCAUCAACCCAUCGUAUGUCUCAUAGAAUGUAAAUAUAUGUCCUCGCCUUAAAAAGCGUUGAUAAACUUAUACAACUUUCAACAACGGAUCUCUUGGCUCUCGCAUCGAUGAAGAACGCAGCGAAAUGCGAUAAGUAAUGUGAAUUGCAGAUUUUCAGUGAAUCAUCGAAUCUUUGAACGCACCUUGCGCUCCUUGGUAUUCCGAGGAGCAUGCCUGUUUGAGUGUCAUUAAAUUCUCAACUCUGAUCGAUUUGUUUCGACUUCGGAGCUUGGAUUUGGAGCGUGCUGGCGUCGGUCGGCUCCUCUUAAAUGCAUCAGCGGAAUCUAACGUUUCGGACGUCAGUGUGAUAAUCAUGUUGCGCUGUCUGUCUGAUCCGAAAGCCCGCUCACAAUGGUCUUCGGACAACUUCAUAUCAAAUUUGACCUCAAAUCAGGUAGGACUACCCGCUGAACUUAAGCAUAU